This 258-nucleotide long non-coding RNA is filed under the name Medicago truncatula (barrel medic). RNAcentral describes it as "lncRNA gene37968". Lineage: Eukaryota; Viridiplantae; Streptophyta; Magnoliopsida; Fabales; Fabaceae. The record is from RNAcentral.
CACCACUUUCAUCUCCAACACCAUCCCCUUCUCCGUUCACUGCACCUGCCCCGACAACUAAACCACCGGUAUCAUCUCCAGCACCAGCUCCUGUUAGCCCUGCCCGGCACCGGUAAUUCCGGUAGGAUCUUCACCCACUCAUGCUCCAGAAAACUCACCUCCACCAAAAAAGGAAGGUGGUUCAGCACCAACACCAACACCAACAUUGUCGAAUUCACCUGUUGAGGUGGAUGAUGUAAGUUUCUCAUUCCUCUUUUC